RNAcentral lists this ribosomal RNA (498 nucleotides) under Triticum aestivum (bread wheat). RNAcentral's name for it is "partial small subunit ribosomal RNA". The record is from RNAcentral. Lineage: Eukaryota; Viridiplantae; Streptophyta; Magnoliopsida; Poales; Poaceae.
AUGGACUACCAACCGAUCAUAUCGACACUGGACGUUCGCGUUGAACCCAUCACAGUCGACGCCCUCUUCUCCAUGGUGGCCAACUUCGACCAGAGGGUCGAGAUGUUCCACGGGAACGGCGCCGGGGGCUUCAAAUCCUUGGCCAAUCUCGCCUCUCGAGGGCGUGGCGGCGGCAAGGGCUCCUACCGCAACCAGAAGGGCAGUGGUGGCUCGCGUGGUGGCUACGGUGCCAGCAGCGGUGGUGGCGACUACAAUCCUGGCGGCGGCUACAACCUUGGCGGCGGCUCUGCCGCUGGACACGGUGCCGGAAACGGUGGCGGUCAUCAUGGCGGAUACCCUGAUGGUGGCGGCGGCUACUAUCAUGGGGGUGGUGGCGGCGGCCACCACCAACAGCACCCUGACGGCAACAACAACAGGCGGGCUCCUCCUAACAGAGGGAGAGACUUCCAGGGCUAUGAAGGUUAUGAGGGUAAAUGUCAAAUAUGCAAAAAAAACUAA